Molecule: long non-coding RNA, 1188 nt
Organism: Brassica napus (rape)
Lineage: Eukaryota; Viridiplantae; Streptophyta; Magnoliopsida; Brassicales; Brassicaceae
Exons: 2
Source: RefSeq, a predicted model, not a curated record
UUUCCUAUCUUCAGAAACAUCAUCUCAUUCAUGGUGUAUCUACAUACUUCCACGGCGUCUCACAUACUCCCAAUCUCCACUUCCCAAACCACUCCCUCCGCCGCUCCUUCUUCCGUCGAAUCUCAACCACCCAUCGCAAUCCCUUAAUUCCCGUCUUCAUCAACCGAGUCUCAGAAACUGUCACGAUCGGAUCUUUGUGCUUUUCCUCACCGAUGUUUGAUCUGUUUUUGUCUCGGCUGUGAUGGUCGGAGUCGUGUUGAUCUGUGCUCACCUAGCGUUUAGGGCUCCGAAAGAUCUUUUCUUGGAUGAGGAAGAGAAAGAUCUUUCCUUUCGUUUAUUUUUAAGUUUAAGAUUCAGGAAAUAUCAUUUUUGUUAAAUUUUAUUUGAUUCCUCGAUUGGUGAUUUAAGCUGUGGAUUGAAUCUAGGGUUAGCGUUCCUUUAAAAUUUUGGAUUCUUUAGAUAGUUUUUCAUUAUACUCCAAUUAAAUCCUCCUUAGACCUCUCAUUGUUCUUAUUCAUUACCAAAACUGAGUUUCCCUCUCUUUUGCUACUUAGGUAAUAACUUUGAUGGCUACACGCUUAUAUCUGUUUGUUAAGUGUUAGUGUGAGUCGUCUGUUGAUUGAUUGUUAAUUAAUAAAAGCAAUUGAACUUGAUAACCUUCACGCCAAACAACUAAAAUGGUUCUGUUUUUUUUUCUUACAGGUUAAAAAUUAAUUUUUAAACAAAUUUUUGACGUUUGCAAGAGCUCAACCUGAAGCAUGCAAGACGGAUAUGUUAUUGCAGAGAGGAUAUGACUGUUCACUACAGGUUUGAAUGUCAGGAUAAUCUUGACAAGGGUUUUGAGACCAACACACCUUUCUCUUGGAUCACAUCCAGUUUCAAGGAGGAUGCUUAGUCUGGUGCUACAACUCAGUCUACUCUUUCUCAUGAAUCUGCUGAGUCGGAUUCCCUUUGAAGACAAGUAUCUUAUCCACUCAUGGGCCCUAGGUUGUGUAAUUUUUAAUAGGUGAUCUGUACAUCAUCAUACCGUGUCGUUUAAUUAAAACAUAACAAAGUUUACUGCCUCUUUGUUUGCGUUUGUUUUUGGCCUUCACCUUAUAUGCAUGAGCUCUUCACAUAUUCAUGAUAUUUGUUUAGUUAUGUACAGAUCUUUACUCUUUUGGUGUUAUUGAGUCCUUCAAAUAUUUA